GGAGCAGUAAUCGAUUCCUUCAGUUGUUUAUGUAUAUUUUCUGUGUUAUAUUUAAGCUGGCAAACACAAAAAGUCAGGCUGGAAGCCGGAGUGGCUGCAGUUACCUCAGUUCAAAGCCUGGCUUUACACCACUCCACAUGGAAUGUUUUGCCGUAUUUGCAGGCAGCAUAAGCCACCUGUAAGGAAUGGUCCUACAAAAAGACCCUUUGUGGAGGUUGGUGCUCUCCAUUACAGGAAGGAUUACCUGGAGCACCACAUCAGUACUGAACACCACCAACUGAGCAUGAAAUCCCAGCAGUCAGUCGCAUCAGGAUACUCCAUCAUGUCCACCUUCGAGCCAGUGAUACAUUUGGAGCACGAAGCUAUUAUUGGUGGUUUCAAGUGUCUUUACUGGCUGAUAAAAAAUGAGAUGGCUCACCACACCAACUACCCCAAAUUGCUAAGUUUAGCCAGACUUUUGGGGUGUGAUUAUUUUGACAAGCUUAAGGUGGACCGCAGGAACAAUUUUCGCUCUCAUCGAAUCAUCGAUGAGAUGCUGGAAAUAAUUUCACAGAUUAUCGAAGAGCCCAUUAUUCAAGAGAUUAGGGCAUCCCAGGCCAUGAGCCUUGAGGUGGAUGAGCACGGAUGUGUCCACAUCUCGCCAGCUUGACCUGCAUGUCAGGUGUGACCGAAUGUUUGGAGGACAAUUUACCCCCGUUACCAAUGUAGACUGAUUUUUUCCUUUUUCAACUGUGUGCGAAAUAAUCACAUCUCUAAUCUGUUCUAUUCCUAAUGUUGUUUUUGUUCAAUUCAGAUACCUGGAUAAUGAGGGACUGGUUUUCAACCAGUUCCUAGACAUUGUCUCAGUCCCUGAUGGGAGGGCUGACACUAUUGUAACCGCCAUUAAAACGGUCCUAAUGAAUAAGAAUAUGCCAACAGAGAAGCUCUAUGGAAUUGGCACAGACGGUGCUGCUGUUAUGACAGGGCGUUUGAAUGGAGUUGUGAAACAACUCACUGAUAGCUUCCCCAAGGUUGUUGGUGUUGCUUGUGCUGCUCACCGGCUUGCACUGGCCUGUAGGGAUGCUUCCAAUGGUGUCAGAUACAUGGCAAUUUUCCGAGACCACCUCCAGGACCUGUAUUUGUACUUCCAACACAGUGCAAACCGGACUGCAGCACUGAAGACUGCUGCUACUACCCUGGGACUAG
Gadus chalcogrammus (walleye pollock) is the source of this 1185-nucleotide long non-coding RNA. RefSeq lists it as uncharacterized. The transcript is spliced from 5 exons. The record is from RefSeq and is a predicted model, not a curated record. Lineage: Eukaryota; Metazoa; Chordata; Actinopteri; Gadiformes; Gadidae.